This 872-nucleotide ribosomal RNA is filed under the name Preussia sp. (in: ascomycete fungi). RNAcentral's name for it is "Preussia sp. (in: Fungi) partial large subunit ribosomal RNA". It matches the Rfam family "Eukaryotic large subunit ribosomal RNA", at positions 54 to 943 of the family's 3401-position model. Lineage: Eukaryota; Fungi; Ascomycota; Dothideomycetes; Pleosporales; Sporormiaceae. The record is from RNAcentral.
AGGAAAAGAAACCAACAGGGAUUGCCCUAGUAACGGCGAGUGAAGCGGCAACAGCUCAAAUUUGAAAUCUGGCUCUUUCAGGGUCCGAGUUGUAAUUUGUAGAGGGUGCUUUGGAGUUGACUGUGGUCUAAGUUCCUUGGAACAGGACGUCGCAGAGGGUGAGAAUCCCGUAUGUGGCCGCCAGUCUUCGCCGUGUAAAGCCCCUUCGACGAGUCGAGUUGUUUGGGAAUGCAGCUCUAAAUGGGAGGUAAAUUUCUUCUAAAGCUAAAUAUUGGCCAGAGACCGAUAGCGCACAAGUAGAGUGAUCGAAAGAUGAAAAGCACUUUGGAAAGAGAGUCAAAAAGCACGUGAAAUUGUUGAAAGGGAAGCGCUUGCAGCCAGACUUGCCUGUAGUUGCUCAUCCGGGCUUUUGCCCGGUGCACUCUUCUAUAGGCAGGCCAGCAUCAGUCCUGGCGGUCGGAUAAAUGCCCGCUGAAUGUACCUCUCCUCGGGGAGGACUUAUAGCAGUGGGCGGCAUACGACCAGCCGGGAUUGAGGUCCGCGCAUCUGCUAGGAUGCUGGCGUAAUGGCUGUAAGCGGCCCGUCUUGAAACACGGACCAAGGAGUCUAACAUCUAUGCGAGUGUUUGGGUGUCAAGCCCGAGCGCGUAAUGAAAGUGAACGGAGGUGGGAACCCCUCGGGGUGCACCAUCGACCGAUCCUGAUGUCUUCGGAUGGAUUUGAGUAAGAGCAUAGCUGUUGGGACCCGAAAGAUGGUGAACUAUGCCUGAAUAGGGUGAAGCCAGAGGAAACUCUGGUGGAGGCUCGCAGCGGUUCUGACGUGCAAAUCGAUCGUCAAAUUUGGGCAUAGGGGCGAAAGACUAAUCGAACUAU